UGUCAGCAUCUGUGACCAUCUAUAUGUCUGGGGCCCUGCAUGAGGGUGUGCAUGUGGGAGCCAGAAUGACCAUAUCUUGUGUCUUGCCAUCUGCGUGUGAGUGCCUCACUACCCAUGGGCAUUUUGGACACCCACCCCCACCAGUCCCUGAGUUUCCUCAACUGCCCCCCCCCCCCCCCCCCCCCCCCCCCCCGUGUAACUGUGAGGCUGUGGGAGUGCGCCCUGGGGGACUGUGGGCUCCAGACACAGUUGUCCCCGUGGGUUUGCAAGAGAUGGGGGUGGGUGCGAGGGAGGGUCCGGCUCCGGGUGGGCGGGGCCCGGAGGCGGGGCUUAGCGGCGCCCAGCCCCGCGCCGCUCCUCCCUGCGCACUGCAGAAAGCCUCUGCCUCCUCCCGUCUCAGUCUUCUCCAGGCGCUCCUCACGGUGCCUCUGGACUUGUCCCUGCGCCCCGGACCUUAGGACCGCCCGCCCGCCGCGCUGGUAGGUCCCGGGCGGCCGCUCCGUGCCCUGUCGCGGGAAGGACCCCUCGCCUCUGCCCCCUCGCUUCCGCCCCUUAACCUGCGAGUGCUGGAGGGACGGAGGGACAGAAGGAGGAAGGAAAGGAGGUGUUUCUUGUAAACAACAUUUUGUUAGAUUCUUGUUUCUAAUUCAUUCUGCUAUCUGCUUCUGUUUUACAGGAGUGCCUCUAUUUCGCUCAGUGUCCAUUUUUUUGCCUCUGAAGAAUUCUACUCAGUUUUGUCGGAUUGUCCUUCACUUCAUUGCAUUUGCAUUCCCAAUCACUUGUUUUCCAUUCGGGUUCUUUGAUGACACUUGCCACCAACUUCCAUCACUUGCUUCAGGAUUGAACUGAAAACCAUCCUCUGCAAGAGUCCUUUUCUGGUCCACCUGAACUCCCUGUCCACUUGAGGCAUCUCCUCUAAGUCUGCCUUCUUUCUAUUCUCCUUAGGUAAGAAGAGGAGCAAGAACUUCCUUCCUCUGCUCACUUGUCAUCCAUCUCUUGCUGUGGAAAGCUGCUUGAGACUGAUGGUUCUGCUUCAGUGCAAGACAACUUACACCUCCUACUAACAGACUUACUCCUGCUGGUAAAAGAGCCUCUGUGGGGAGUCCCUGAUUCAUGUGAAGAAGAGGCCUUUCCUUUGACCUCAGGCCUUCCAUCUCCUCCUGCACCUAUCCCUUGAGGGUAGACCCAAGUCAGUAGGGAGCGGGACCUCCAACUCCUGCUGUACCACCUUGUGACAUCCAGUUUUUCACAGAAGCAAAGUAGUGAAAUGGGGCCUCCCAUCUGACCAUCUGACUGCGUGCCUUCUAGUUGCUGCUGUACUUGUCUUUUGCCUGAUCUUCAGCCUCCUCUGGGAAGAGGAGUAGUGCCUUCAAUAAUGAACCUUCCUCCUCCUGGUCAUACUUUACAAAUCCCAGUGAUUCUGAAUCCCUGUAGGCCAUCACCCAAGCCACAUACUCCAUCUCCCACUACCAGGUUCCUUGUUUCCAUCCCUCUAAACCCUCCCACCCCAAAGUCACCACCAAAUACUACCCCUUCUACUCCAUCAUCCAGAAUGCCUGUUCCAUAGACAGCAAACUUCCAUUCAUCCACAAUCUCUAGCCAUCUUCUCGCCAUCACUGAAACCUGGCUGCCCCAUGAUGGCACAACAUCCUUGGCCAGUCUUUCAAGUAUUGGCUGUACUUUUACUCAUUCCCCUUGAUUUACUGGUCGAGGCAAAGGAGUUGGAGUACCCCAUUGCUGUUUCUGGGUUCUCCCUUCCUCCAUUCCUCAGAAACCUCUCCUGUGAGGGUCAUGCACUUCAUCCCUUCCACCCAAACACAAUCCUGGUAGCUGUUGUCUAUAUACCUCCAGGUAACUCCACUUCUUUCUUCAAUGAAUUCAGUUACGUCUUGCAAUUUGUCUCGCCUCCCAAAGUCCUGUUUUCAGGUUAGUGGACUUCAGCGUACCUCCUAAUUUUUGCUCAAAACACCCAAACCAUUUGCUUCCUCCAUUGACUCAUUCCCCUCACUCCUGAAUCACUUAGCCACCCAAAAAGAUGGUCAUACCUUUAUCACCCACAGAUAUUUAGUAAUUCUAAUAUCUUCUAAUUUGACAUAAUCCAUUCUUUUUUUCUCUUCUCUCUUUCCUUUUCAAAACCUACUUUUCAUUCCCACCAAUCUCUUAGCCUCUCACUUCUUUUUAAAGCUAUCUCCACUACACUAAUCUGAUAUCUUGGUUAAUCAAUAGAACUUUACACUGUCCUUUGGAAUCAGUCCCCACACCAUCAUUUCACUGAUUGUCUGAUUCCUGCUUAGCCACUUUUGGCUUACUCCCACCAUUUGCCACCUUCUGAUUUUACACACACUCACACAGGUGAACAAAGGUAGAGAUAAACACAACAGACCUGGGUCUACUACAAACUUGUUACCCAGUUUCUUUAUAUAACAUCUAGUGUACAGAAUCAGAAUAGACAGGGGGGACUGUUGGGAGCACUAUCUUGUGGUUGACUCAGACAUUAUACUCUUCCUGUUCAAUCACAUGGACAGAACAUAGUAUUAGACUUUGGCUCAUUUAAAAUCUAGAUUUGCUGGAUUGUAACUAGCACCUAACUCCUAUUUAACCAAUGUAAAGAUUGGCAGAAUGGUGCAGAAAGGAAUGAUGGAUUGAAGUAAGUGAUGAAUUCUUUCUGUAUCAAUAUAAAUUCAGACUAAAUUAUCCCCAUUAAAAGUGCCCAUUACAUUCUUAAACCCUAUAAAAGGUCAUCUGACAUUGGAUUUAGACUCAAUCACAGUGGAGAUAGUAUUGAGCGGAUUUCAGCCAAAAAUAUAGCCGUUGCCCAUCUACAAGAACAAAUAAUUGGAGGAAAUAAAUACGAGGGACAUAAAUGUUCUUUUUAAUAGUGUUUCUUAAGUUGGUAUUAAAAUUAGAAAAUAAAAAACACAAGUUUGACUUAUGCUAACACUUAACUAGUGUUAAAUUGAGCAUGCAGUUAAAUGCUAAUCCAGGAAUGAGGGCUUAUCAAAAUUGUUAACCUUGGAGUAUUCAAAAAUCAUAGUAGGUGAGGCUUACAGUGGUGCUGUAAUCAUAGCCAGUAGUCAAACUAGGAUUCCAAUCUGGUGCUUUUGAUUCCAGUUCCAGUGAUCUUACCACUGGACCACAUUCUCCAUCUUCCCCCAUCUGUGGCAAUUCAUUCUGAACCAAUCCAUUUCUGUCUGUCUGUCUCAGGCUCUUCCCCCUUUCUCUCUCCCUCCCUCUUCCUCUCCUUUCAGUCACUGCCAAACUUUUCCAAUGUAUGAUCUGUAUCUACUGUCUCAAAUUCCCUUUCCCCCCACCCAUUCCUUAGAUCACUCAGUGGGUCUUCAGGCUCAUAGUCAAAGAUUUAGAUCUGAAAUGGACCUUGGAACUCAUCUGGUUCAAUCCCCUCAUUUGACAGAGGCCAAGGGAAAUGAAGUGACUUGUAUGAGAUAAUGCAGCUUGUAAGUGCCUGAAGCAGGAUUUGACAUCAGGUCUUCCUGCCUCAAAGAUCAGGGGUGUAGCCAUGAAAUCAUACUGUCUCCUAUCCCCUCAUCUUACUUGGUUUCUCUCAUCUCUAAGUUCUAAGAUAAGAAGUGUAAUGGAGCAAUUUAUUUUUGAAAUUGUAAAAGAAAAAUUAUUUUCCCCAAAUACAGUGUUCCUUGUGAUAAGCAUUGAAUAUAUAAUUGUUGAGCUGACUUGUUUUUUGGUUUUUUUUGUUUUUGUUUUUGUUUUGCUUUCUGCCUGAUAUGUGAUAGUCUAUGCUGAAUGAGUGAAUUCCUUAUCGUUUCUCUGUCCUUUGUUGAAAUGAGAGUUUUAAAAGGAUUUCUGUGACAGCUUACUCUAUGACAAAUAUUAAAAAGUUAAAUAAGAGUCGUCAUUUCUGCACCAAAGAUAACGGAAAGGUUCUGUAGGUAUUGUGUCAUAUAAACAAAUGUUUAUGCUAUGCUGAACCCAUGUAUGAGAAGUCAUAGCUUAGCUUAAAAGGAGAUCUUGGAAUACACUAGGGAGGGGGAGGGUGUGUUCCUUUUGAGAGUUAGAAAUGAUAAUUAAAACUAUAUGAAUAUGGUAUGGGUGAUGCCUUUUGACUUGCAUGUAAAUUGGAUUUAAGUGAGAAAGAGUUGCUUGAAGCCUUCAGUCACACUUCUUCCAGAAUCAUUGGAGUUCAAUGGCAGGACAAAAAUGAAGAUGACUGGCUAACACUCUGGAUGCAGUGGAUGACGCUGACCAAGCUCUACAGUGCUCCCCGGGGCCUGCUUCUGUUGCCUUUGGGCCCAUUGACACAAAAUGUUCACAUGUUCUUAUUAAAUACAUCAGGGAUGUUUUCAUAUGCUUGGGGUAGACACCCCUCUGACUCACAGAUGAGUUUGUGGUCCAUCAGUUACCCUCAACGUGGCGUUAGCCCAUCUGUUGAGGUGGCUCUGUUGGGGUGUGGCCACUGCUCAUUGCCACAGCUGCUUUUUGGAGCUACCAUUGAGAGCUAGGUGCUCUAGUGUAUACACCAAAGAUGGAUGAGCAGCCCUGAGAAGUUUUUAGCAAGACCUCCUUGCCAUAGAGGUACAAGUUUUUCCUGAACACCAUAUACAUCCCAGUGAAUAUAAGAGAACAUUAAACAGUAAAAAUUUAAUUAUCCAUGAUUUAUUUAACAAUUAGCAAUGUGAUAACAUGUUCCUUUGAAUACAAUAUUGAUAUUCAGUAAUAUCAACCCGCAGUGCUCUCUACCAGAGCCUGAAGGAAAUGGAUCAUCUCACUCAGCCUCAUGCAUCUGAGUACAAGCAUGGUCACACAGGUGAUCAAGUCAGUAAACAUUUAUUAAGGACCUACUCUGUGAUAGGCUAUGUACUAAGCAUAAGAAAACAAAGAUAUCCUCUGUCAUUGAAGAGCUUACAAACUAAGCUUGGACACAACAAGCAAACAAUUAUGCACAAAAAGGUUUAUACAGGAUCAGGUGAGCAUGUAAGAAACAAAAGAUCUUGCCAAGAACUCCACUGACUUGCUGAUGAAUUCAGGAAAGAGUUAUUUUACAUUCUUGUAAGGAUGGCUACUUACAUGAGCCCUUUGACUCCCCUUUGAAACUCCAAAGGCAACAUUUUAUUCCCUAUCCUGAAGCAUAAAUCCCUCCCCUGAUUCCCCAUUAACUGAAUGUUACAAAAGUUAUAGGACAUGAAUUUCCAGCCCUUGUUACAUAGUCCCUGCCCCAAGGAACUUCCAUUCUAGAAGAGGGAAGUAACAAAGGGAGGGCUGAGGGCAAAGAAGAUUCUUUUCAAAUCUCAGGCCAUCACCUCCAGUUUCAAAAGUCAGUCCCUGCCCCCAAGAAGCUUACCGCCUUUUGGGAGAGAUAACCUUCACUCUUGAUGAUUCUCUGAUGUCCUUGCGGAUUUCAGUUUUCUAAUUUAAGUUUCAUUUCUCCAAUUUAAUUUCCAUAACUGUGGAAGCCAAAUAAUUGCCCAUCCAUUUCUUAAAGAUACACAAAUUGUACUAAACCCAAAAUGCCUACAUUCUGAGAGGCAUCAUUCUCUCUGUAUAUGUGAAUCUAAGUGAAAUAAUCCUUGAGGCAAAUGGGAACUGAGCCUGAGGCAGAGCAGCCUCCCUGUUCCCUGACCCUGGGAGGGGAGGGGUCUCAUACUCCUUAGCAGUGGGACACAAAAUGCUUAGCAUGGACAUACUCCAUGUUAAGACCCACACCUCCACUUAGAGAAGAAGCCAAUCAGAAAAAAAUGACAAGGUUUUUUCUUUUUUUGCUUUUAUGUUGUUGUUUUGAAUUCUAUAGCAUAUUAAUUCAAUGGAUCCAAAACUGGAUUUCUUUUUUUUUUUAAUUUAUUUUUUAAUAGCUUUUUAUUUACAAGUUAUAUGUGUGGGUAAUUUAACAGCAUUGACAAUUGCCAAACCUUUUGUUCCAAUUUUCCCCUCCUUCCUACCACUCCCUCCCCCAGAUGGCAGGAUGACCAGUAAAUGUUAAAUAUAUUAAAGUAUAAAUUAGAUACACAAUAAGUAUACAUGACCAAACCGUUACUUUGCUGUACAAAACGAAUUGGACUCUGAAAUAUUGUACAAUUAGCCUGUGAAGGAAAUCCAAAAUGCAGGCAGGCAAAAAUAUAGGGAUUGGGAAUUCAAUGUAAUGGUUCUUAGUCAUCUCCCAGAGUUCUUUCUCUGGGCAUAGCUGGUUCAGUUCAUUCCUGCUCCAUUGGAACUGAUUUGGUUCAUCUCAUUGCUGAGGAUGGCCAGGUCCAUCAGAAUUGAUCAUCAUAUAGUAUUGUUGUUGAAGUACAUAAUGAUCUCCUGGCCCUGCUCGUUUCACUCAGCAUCAGUUCGUGUAAGUCUCUCCAGGCGUUUCUGAAAUCAUCCUGUUGGUCAUUUCUUACAGAACAGUAAUAUUCCAUAAUAUUCAUAUACUACAAGCCAUUCUCCAAUUGAUGGGCAUCCACUCAGUUUCCAGUUUCUGACCACUACAAACAGGGCUGCCACAAACAUUUUUGCACAUGUGGGUUCCUUUCCCUACUUUAUGAUCUCUUUGGGAUAUAAGCCCAUUAGAAACACUGCUGGAUCAAAGGGUAUGCACAGUUUGAUAACUUUUUGGGCGUAGUUCCAAAUUGCUCUCCAGAAUGGCUGGACGUAUUCACAACUCCACCAACAAUGUAUCAGUACCCCAGUUUUCCCACAUCCCCUCCAACAUUCCCCAUUAUCUUUCCCUGUCAUUCUAGCCAAUCUGACAGGUGUGUAGUGGUAUCUCAGAGUUGUCUUAAUUUGCAUUUUUCUGAUUAAUAAUGACUUGGAGUAUCUCUUUUCAUAUGGCUAGAAAUAGUUUCAAUUUCUUCAUCUGAGAAUUGUCUGUUCGCAUCCUUUGACCAUUUAUCAAUUGGAGAAUGGCUUGAUUUCUUAUAAAUUAGAGUAAAUUCUCUAUUUUGGAAAUGAGUCCUUUAUCAGAACCUUUGACUGUAAAAAUAUUUUCCCAGUUUAUUGCUUCCCUUCUAAUCUUGUCUGCAUUAGUUUUGUUUGUACAAAAACUUUUCAGUUUGAUAUAAUCAAAAUUUUCUAGUAAUGAUCUCUAGUUCUUCUUUGGUCAUAAAUUCCUUCCUUUUCCACAGGUCUGAGAGGUAAACUAUCCUGUGUUCCUCUAAUUUAUUUAUAAUCUCAUUCUUUAUAUUUAGGUCAUGAACUCAUUUUGACCUUAUCUUGGUGUACGGUGUUAAGUGUGGGUCGAUGCUUAGUUUCUGACAUAGUAGCAAAACUGGACUUCUUAUGAGAGUCUCCCCUGCAAUACACCCUUCUGAACUUUCCCAUUACUGUCAAGGACAUUCCUUCACACACAAAAUGAUACACAAAAAGAUAUUCCCACCUACAUGCUUUUGCAUAGGAAUGCAUUACAGCCUCACAGUUCUGCCUCUGAGAAGUCCUAGUUUCCUCGCUGCCCUCCCCUCAUUGAGAUCUUCCUUUUCCACUCUACCAUUCCCUUGUAUUUUAUAUUUUAUAUAGAUUUAUACUGACCCUGCUGCAUCCACUAAUAAGAUAUAAUUUCUUUGAGGGCAGGGAAUAUUUCAUUUUUUUUUGUCUUUGUAGCCCCAGCACCCAUGGCACAUAUUAGGGGAUUAAUAAAUGCUCUUACCCAUUGAUUGACAUACAAAAAUAUAGCGUGGUAUUUUGUUAAAAUCCAGUAGCUAUACUGGCUAUUGUAGUAUACUGAAAUGUUUAGGCCAAAAUUAUACUUUAGUAAUAAGUUUUCAUGUUCUCUCUCCUCCCCCUACCCCAGAAUCACAGAAUCUUAAAGGUGGAAAGUAUUUCCAAGGCCACCAUUCCAACCUAAAUGAAAAUUAUCUUUGUAGUAUCUCCUAACAAGUGGUAAAUUGCUUCAAUCAAUCCAUGAGUAUUUAUGAAACUCCUACUAUGUGCUAGGCACUGUGAUAAGCACUGAGGAUACAAAAAAAGGCAAAAGUCUGUCCUCAAAGAGCUUACAAUCUAAUGGGGGAAGACAAUAUACAAAGAAAUAUAAAUCAAGCUAUAUGUAGGAAAAAUACACAAUGAAGAGGGGAGGUACUAGAAUUAACAGGGACUGAGGAAAGUGGAAUUUAAAGAAAACCAGGGAAGUUAAUAGUUAGAGUGGAAGAGAGAACAUUCCAUGCUUGAGAGACAGCCAGAGAGAAUGCCCAGAACCAAGAGAUGAAAGAUCUUGUUUAUGGAACACCCAGGAGGCCAAUGUUACUGAGUUAAAAAUACAGAAAGAAGAUGUAAGAAGACUAGAAAGAUAAGAAAGAAAGGAAAGAAAGGAAAGGAAGCUGGGAUAUGAAGGGUUUUGAAUGCCCAGCCACCUUUUGGAUUUGAUCUUGGCGGUGACGGAACUACUAAAAUUUACUGAAUAGGGAGAUGACAUGAUUGCAUCUGCACUUUAGAAAAAUCACUUUAGUGGUUGAGUGGAUGAUGGAUUGGAGUGGGGAGAAACUUGAGGCAGACAGAUCCACAAUUAUCUUUUGCUGCAGUUAAGGUGUGAAGUGAUAAGGAUCUCCAGGGUGUAUGUGUGGUGGGGGAAGAAAUGGCAGUUUCAAAGGAGAGAAGGAGAAUUAUUUGAGAGAAGCUGAAAAAAUGAGAUUGAUAGGCCUUGGCAACAGCUUGGAUAUUGGAAAUGAGAGAUAGUGACUUUGGGAUGACUCCUAGGUUGUAACCCUGAGGGAGUGAAAGAAUAGGGUUGCCUCCUCCAAUAAUAGGAGGCAGGGUAGGGGUUAGGAGCAAAGAUAAUGAGUUCUGUUAUUGGACAUAUUGAGUUUCAGAUGUCUGAUGGAUAUACAGUUCAAGAUGUUUGAAAGGCAAUUGGAGAUGUGAGAUUAGAGGUCAGCAGAGAGGUUGGGGGAGAAUGUGUAAGUUUGAGAAUCAUCAGCAUUGAGAUGAUAAUUAAGUCCAUCGGGAUUGAUGAGGCCACCAAGUGAAGUAUAUUACAGAGGAAGAGGGCCCAGGAUAGAACUCCAAGGGACACCUAUGGUUAAAGAGUAUGAUCUAGAGGAAGAAACAGCAAAAGAGACAAAGAAGGAACAGUCAGAGAUGCAGGAGUAGAAUCAGCAGAGAGGUGUUCCAAAAACCUAGAAAAAAGGGAACAUAAAUAAGAAAGUGACAAAUAGUGUCAAAAGGUAUAGAGACUUCAAGGAAAGCAAGGAUUCAGAAAAAAAAAACAUUGGAUUUGGCAAUGGAUUAUUAGUUGUUUGGCAACAAAGAUUAUUAUAUAGAUAUAAUAUUAAUAAUAUACUAUUAUUAGUAUAAUAGAUAUAAUUAUCUAUUAUAAUUAGAUAAUAAUCUAAUUAGAUUAUUAGAUAAUCAAGAUUAGAUUAUCUUGAAGGGGGCAGUUUCAGUGGAAUAAUGAAGUCAGAAGCCAGAUUGUAAGGGUUUAGGAAGAAAAUAAGAUGAGAAAGUAGAGGUACCUAUCAUAUCAUUUUUUCAAGGAAUUUAGCUAUAUGGAACAGAAAAGAUAUAAGAUGAUAGCAUAACCCUAGAUGAUUUUAGUGAAUUUUUAGGUGAAAUGUGAAGCAAUAUUCUCAGCUGAGAGGAGGGAGUCAUGGGAGGUUCAAGGAGGGAUGAAAAGUUUUGGAAGAACUGCUGGGAAGAGUGAGGAGAUUGAGUUGGUAAGGGGGGGCACAGUACAAUUGCUAAGUAGCAGUGAGGGCCCAGUUUAAGAUGAAUGGCAUAAAUUUGUAGUAGACCCAGUCAGAGAACAGUUAUGUGGUUUUCUCUACCUUCAUUCAGCAGCUUGUAUAUAGUUUCGAAGGCAGCAAAUGGUGAGAGUGAUCAAAAGCUGAGGUUUGGCUGGACAAAGACCUCUAGUGACAGAAUACCCAUUGCCUUUCAAGAUACUCCAUUCUACUUUGGGACAGGUUCCCAAAUACAAAAAAAAAAAAAAGUUAUUCUGCUCACAGAGAUAGAAAUCUUUUUCUGCAACUUUCACCCAUUGUUCCUAGUUCUAUUCACUAGGGCCAAGUUUGAUAUUUCCUCCUAACAGUCCUUCUAAUACUGGAAGACUCCUUUAUUGUCCCCACCUUAAACUUACCUGGCUAAACACUCCUCAUUACUUCAAGAGUUUCUCUUCUCGCAUAAACUCAAGGCCCUUCAACCAUUAUUCCUGACUUCUCUGGAUGUUGUCCAACUCAUCUAUGAUUUUACUGAACCGUGGUACUGAAGAACAAGAUUCCAAAUCCCCUAGCUGAUAUACCAGUUUUCUCUACCAUAACCCUAUUAAUUAGUCAUCUAUCCUAUAUCUGAACACCAAAAUUAAUGAGUAAUUCACCAACUCCUAAGCCAACACACUUCUUUUUCAAACAACUCUGAUUAAAAAUUUCUUAUUUAAAUUGAGAUAAAAAUUGACUCUUCCAUUGCUUCUAAUUUUUGCCUCCUAAUAAUUAGCAGAACAAUUGUUAUUCAUAUCUAAAGGAUAUUCUUAAAAUCUUAGUGAAGUUUUAAGAUUUAAUAAUUUAAAAUCUAUUAAAUAUAAUAGUUUUAAUCACUUAAAACUGAACCAAGGUCUUUGGGACACCCUGUAAGUAAGUGUCUUUGCCUUCCAGAAAUCCUGCUUCCUAAUUCUAGGAGCUCUCUCUAGUUGCCACUGUUGCCAUUUUCCUGCAAGAUGGGCUUGGUCACCUGCAAAUUUGCAGAUCUAUCUUCUAAACACUAGGAGUAACUUUCCUACACGUUACCUUUCUAAUUAUUCUCAUAGAAAGUAAGCUAUCUAAUACAAACAAUAUCUAAUACAAACAAUUAUUUUCAUAUUCUGCUCUACAGUUUUGUCAGUGGUUAGUCAAGUUCAUUGGCUUAUAGAAAUGCUGUUUUGUUUUUUGUUUUUUGUUUUUUUUUUCAUUUUUUGACAGUCCUAUUGUGGUACUUCUGUACUCUGAUUUUUUCAGAUAUCACUGACAGUGACUCAGCCAUCACACUUGCAAAUUCUUUCAUUACCCAAGGGUGAAAUUUUGGUUUGGAAGGGGCAGCUAGGUGGCACAGUGGAUAGAGCACCAGCCCUGAAGUCAGGAGGACCUGAGUUCAAAUCUGGCCUCAAACACUUAACACUUCCUGGCUGUGUGACCCUGGGCAAGUUACUUAACCCCAAUUGCUUGGGAGGGAAGAGAAAUUUUGAUUUGGAGAAUAACUUAUCACUGUGGAUCCUAGUAGCUUCAAGUACACUCCUUCUCUGCCUCUCUCAAUUCUGACAGCAGCUCAGACAUCAUUCUUUGAAUUCAUCAAGGAUGACUGGAUGCUCCCUUAUCAUUUCCUCAGGAAACAUGCUCUUUCAGUGUCAGAUGUUUUUUAGGUCUUCUCCUUUGUUUUGAGGUUUUUUCUCUUUUUCUGUCUCUCUCUGAUGGACAAGGCGAAUUAAGCUCAUUGACACCCAUCUGAUUCCUUUUCCAUCUGUAGAGACACAAGCAAACCCUUUCCCCCAAGCAGGUAACCUGUCUGGUCCAUUCCAUUCACCACUUUCUGGAUCUCUCCUCAUCAACUGGAGAUUAUAUUAGAGCUGCUGGCACUGGACACUGCCCUUCUGUCGGGUUAAAAAGAUUGUAUUCUCCCCAGUUGUAAUCCCUUUCUCCCAUCUGAUUGCUUCUCUGCUGAUUGAUAUAUCAGAGUCCUGAAGUUUUAAAGACUCUCUGGGUGUGACCUCGGCUGCCAUCAUGCCUCACCUGUUUUUUGUUUGAGGUUUUGUUUAUGGAGCUGGGUGGGCCCUGCCUUUCAUUUCUCUGGGUCAAUCUACAUUCUGAGGCCCAGUGGAAGCCUUUAUUGCAUUUUGGACAUGGGGUUUUUGGUCUUGUUCUCUCAUUCUGUCCUCUCACUCUAUCCCUAUGCCAACAUUGAGCUUUCAGAUGCCCUGCUUUAUCACACUGAAAGCAUUGACGAGACUCUCUGGAAAUCCCUUGCCAUGAGGGACCCUGUCUUCUCAUGUUCUGCAUCAUAGCCUGGGUAUAAAAGGCAUUUGUGCCCACUGUGGCACAGUGUCUUAUGAUCUCCUCUAAAGGAGCAUCUUUGUGCAGUCCUAGAAUGAUUCUUCUACAAACCUCAUUAGCAUUUUCUUUAGCAAGUUGUUUUAUCAUUAUUCCUGUAGCUGUGUUUUCUCCAAUCAUUCAUAUGACAGCUGUUUGCAGAUGUCCCACAAAAUCAGCAAAGGGUUCAUUUGGACCUUGCUCUAUUUUCCUGAAGGCUGCCCCUCUAUCUUUUUGUCCUGGGAGGGAACCUCAUGCUUUGAUAGCAGCAGGUGUUUGCUCAUAGGCUAUCAAAGGGUAAUUAAUCUGUGUAAAGUGUCUGCAUAUUGACCUUUACCUGCUAGUUGGUCAAAGGUGAUUUGUAUUUUGACUCCAGUUUGCCUAUUUUGUUGGACUUGUAUUCUACAUAGUUCACUAUACUCCAAAAGCCACAACAAGUUUUGUCCAGGUUCUAAACAUGUCCUUGCUAUAGAUUUCCAAUCACUAAGGGUCAAAAUUUCAUAAGCCAAAUUCUCUAAUAUCAUCUUAAAAUAAGAUGAUGUAGCCCCAUAAAGAGUGCAACCCUUUUUCAAAUCUUAUAUUUUUUUCCAGAUCAAAAGGAGUAUAUCUUCUCCUUUGUUGAACUGAAGAGUCAAACUCUUGAAUAACAGGCUAUGCUUCUAUUAAAUCAGAUACAUCCUGCCCUUCUUUUUUAGCUUUAAAACGUGUGCCUUUUGUAAUCUUGUCAUAGGCUGCUUCAUAAUGGUGCUUCUUGUGUUACUGCCCCUCCCCCUUCUCCUUCUCCCUUUACCCAUGAAGGGUUAAUUGAAGAGGGAGUGUCAUGAGAUGGGGAAUGCCCUAAUGGCUCCUGCUGUGAAGCAUCAUACUCCUUAAUUUAAUCAGAAUCAUACUUAACUCCAUUCUUGUCUGAUUCUUCAUGAUUUUCACCUACUUUGUCAUUAUCCUCCCCCUCCUACACUUUCUUUUUUUUUUCCUUAUUCUAAUACUUUUAUAAUUUCUUAAAGCCAAUUGUAUUAAAUUAUAUGUAUAAAAUGUUUCUUUAAGAAUUGAAUCAGGACCAUUAUCAUUGUAAUAUUUAACUUAGUUGCUCUCCUACUAGUUUCCACUUGUCUGGCUCUAAUUUUUCUUCCUUAGAGAACCUAGGAGAUGUGUAUUUUAAUAUUUCAAAGAGUUCAAUGAUCUGCUUCCAAGUUACAAUCAAAUCUUGUUUUUUAAUUAGUUUAACUAUGCUUUCAACACAUUUUCCUUGAGGUGGAAAAGGUUCCUUUCUAAACAUUUGUCCCAUUUCAGCUGAAAUACUUUCCCUAAUUUCUGAGUCACAGAGACUUUUUCAUUGAACUCAGGAUUGGAGGUUUUUCCACUGAACUCAGGAUCGUGUCAGUUUGGACUGCUGAUUGUAAACCUUAGUCCCAUGUUCAGACGCCAAAAUGUAAUGUUCUCGUUGGUUUUCUGGAGGUCUCUGGACCAGUCUUUGUUUCAGUUCAGCAAUCACCACAAGAAUAGUCAGGUGUUAAAGUCCAAAUUCUUUAUUUUCUCCUUCACAGUCUAGUUCCCUUGCCUGGGGCCCAGUUAGCUUUCUUGAGGCCCUUCAGAUGGGCCUUGGUCUCAGUGGGGCGGGGAGGGGGGGAGAGACAGGACAGAGCAGCCACCACAAGGCUGGUGAAGAAGAUGGAAUGAAUCUCUCUGAGUCCAAGGACUUCUGCUUCAGCCUCCAGCCACCAGAAAGGUGGAUGAUGGAAUGAAUGUGUCUCUGAGUCCCACCCUGGCUGAGUUUGUCCCAGUUUAUAUGCUCUAUUAUAAUUAGAUCAUUUACAGUAUACUGAGUAUAAGCCAAUCAUUAUAUCACUAGGGAAUCAUUAUUUGUUGUAAGAUUAAAUCAAUCAUACUAAACUAGAGAACUAUUAAUCACCAUGCUAAACUAGAUAACCAUUGUCUUAUCAAUUCCACUUAGUUAGCACCUUGUUGUAAGAAUCCUUGUUUCAAGUACAGAGUUCUGGCCCAUAACAGUCAAUAAUUAAAGAGAAAUCUCUCCAUCUUCCAUUAUUUCCCAUUUGUUCUGAGUGAGCUCCUGGAUUUUCUUUGUUUUUCUUUUUAUUUUUUUGCCCAUGACAGAAUUAACAGACAAAUCCUUCACUUUUAUUACCAUUACCAGCUCAUCCUGAUCUUUAGGUGGUCUGCUGCUGUUCUCUUGUAUUUAUGGAUGAUAUGGGAAAGAGGAAAGAGCACUGGACUUGAAGUCAGGAUAGAUUAUAUUUAAAUGCCAUCUAGGAUACUUUCUAACUGUGUGAUCCUAUUCCAUACCCUUAUCCUCUGUGGACUUCAGUUUCCUCACUUGUAAGAUGAAGCCACUAAUAUUACUAGUAGCUAUCUUUGUGGGUUUUUUGAGAUAAUGUAUAGAGAACUAUUUUAAAACCUUAUGGAGCAAUAUACAUGUCAGCUACCUCUCCCCACCUCUCUGUUUUUCUAUUUGUGUCUGUCUCUGUCUCUAUCUCUCUGUCUCCAGAUGUCUCCCUCUCUGUCUAUCUCUCUGUCUCUGCCUCUGUUUGUCACUCCAUCUCUCUCUCUGUCUCCUCAUCCCACCAUCCCUCCUUCUCUUCAUCUGCAUUUCAGGGUUGCUGUUCAUAUUUGUAAGUGUGAACUAUUUUGAACAUUCUCCGUGCUCCACAUCUUUGCUGCCAUCCUUUGUCUCCCAUGUGAAAGGCAAUGUGGUACAGAAAGACCCCUCUAUGAGAAGUCUUGUGAAAACUUGCUUGUCUCUGAAUUUUUAGCCUUUGAUAGGUACUAAAAUCUUGUCUAAUUAGUGUCUUUUCAAAGUAUUCCCUGUUUCCAGCUCAGCAGGAAAUCAUAGGUUUAUGUUUUUCAUAGGUUAAGGGGACCAGAAGCAUUCAGAAUAACUUUGUAUAUUCCAAAUCAAGAAGCAGGAUCUUUCCAUUACAUGUUAUCAUGCCUUUCUAAAAGCAGAUUCCUUUUCAUCUUCCACAUAUGCUGGCAGCAAGCAGAGUGUGCUACACUGGCUGUACUACACUGGCUCUUUGGAAGGGGCACUCAUUGGUCAAGACCCCAUUACACUAAGGUGGUAUAAUAAGAACAAUUGAUUAAAAAUAUUUCCAAACCAAAGGACACUCUCCACAAGUACAUACAGAGUCCAGGAAAGGUGGCCUCAAGUCUUAGAGAAUACAUAUGGCAAAGUUUUUGGUUAUUGUCAUUUUUCUCUUUUGAGGGUAUCCCUUGAAAUUUACUUUGGGAAUGGUAUAUCUUUCAACUAGGAUCUUUGUAGUUUUGUUUUGUUUUGUUUUCGCUGAGGCAAUUGGGGUUAAGUGACUUGCCCAGGGUUGCACAGCUAGGAAGUGUUAACUGUCUGAGACCAGAUUUGAACUCAGGUCCUCCUGACUUCAAGGCUGGUGCUCUAUCCUCUGCCACAUAGCUGACCCCCCCUUUUUUUUUUAAAGAAACCCUUGUUCCACCAUUGAAGAAGGGGUUGGGUGGGAAGCAUGCAACAGAAUUGAUCCCUAACCAAAACAAAACAAAAACCCUAGCCGUGUGGCUCAAACCAAAUGAGAAAGUUUUAAAUUGCAAUUUUUAAAUUAAAAAGGAACAAAAAGGAAAAAAUGUAGAAUUUUUUAAAAAUAAUUUUAAAGCAGAGACUUUUAAAUUCAUUUUUAAGGUCCAAAUUCACUGCCUUCCUCUUCCUCUCCCACCUAAUGAGAAAAAAGCAAGAAAAAGAAAAAGAAAAAUAUGCCUAAGUAUGUACUCUGAAACCAUCCAUUCAUUCAUCCACUUUGUAUCUAGAAAUGAAUAGCAUAUUUUGUAAGUCUUUGUGAAUUGUCAUGUCAUUGUGUUGAUAAGUGUUCCUAAAUCUUUCACAGUUGAUUAUUUUUACAAUAUUGCUGUAACUAUGUAGAUUGUUCUGAUUCUCCUCACUUUAUUUUGCAUCUGUUCAUACAGGUCUUUCCAAGUUUUUCUGAAAUCAUUUUCUUUGUCAUUUCUUAUAUCACAGUAUUUUGUCACAAUCAUGUGAUACAAUUUAUUCAGCCAUUUCCCAGUUGGAGAUCUCCACAGUGACCACAAAAAGAGUUACUAUAAAUAUCUAUUUUAUAUUAGGGUCAUUUUUCUCUUUCUUUGAUCUCCUUAGCAUAUAAUCCCAGCAACUAUAUUGCUGGGUCAAAGAGUAUGCGCAGGUUAAUAGCCUUGAUUUUUUUUUUUUGUUACAUUUUAAGUUCUUAAAUUGUGUAUCUUUUCCCCCACUUUAAGGAGAAAGGGCCACCAUUUCAUAAACACAUACACGCACACACACACAGAAAACUACACUAUACAUACAUUUUAUGUAUCAGUUCUUUUUCUGGAAGUGGUAGCAUCUUCAUAUAUACUUCAUAAUUGAUAAGUAUUUAUAAUACUUAGAAUAAUUUAGUCAUUCACAGUUAUUCUUAGAACAGUAUUACUAUUACUGUAUACAAUGUUUUCUUGGUUCUGCUCAUUUUACUCUUACUUAUUUCAUACAAGUUUUUUUCAUGAUUUUUCUAAAAUCAACCUGCUUAUAGCAGCACAGUAGUAUUCCAUCACAAUAAUAUACCACAACUUGCUUAAUCAUUCCCCAGUUUAUGAGCAUCCCCUCAAUUUCCAGAUUUUUGCCACCACAAAGAGAGCUACUUGUUGGAAUCCUAGUGUCAACUCAACUUGAAACAAGGUGAAAACUCAAGGGUAAUGUCAGGGUCCUGAUGUUAACUCAAUAGAAUUGAUACAGACUUGUUGGUUCACACCUUAGAGUGAAUCCUUGCAGGGUGAUGGGUUGCUAAUACUGAUAGACAAUAAUGCUUGUGUUCACACCUUUAGAGAGCUCAAAAUAUUGGAUGUUUUUCUUCUUUAAAUAAUAAUAAUGGUUCUCUCUGGGAGAGAGGUUUCUUGGGGAGGUUUUCUGAAGGCAGCUUUAGUUUCAGUUACAAGUAAAUAAUCACCCAAAAUCGCAGCCAGCUGAUAAAAGUUUACAUCUUUUAUUGUGUCCUUCAAUAUAGCCCAGUUAGCUCAGGCCUAUCUCUCUUCUUGGUUCCAAGAGCUCUCUCUGAAUGUCUCCAAAUCCAAAGGUUUGUCCUUCCGACUCCAGCCAGCACCAAGUUGGAAGAUGCAAUGAAUCUCUCUUGCCUCGAAGAGAGGGCUUGUGCGCUUCCUCCCAGAGUGCUCCUCUCCCACCCCAGUCAAUGUUCCAGAGUAAGUCUUUUUAGCUCUAAGAGCUUCCUCCAUAUAUAUGAUCUCCCAAAGGUUAACUCCUCCUUUCUGGAGGCAGGGUAAAUUCGGAUAUCUCAUACUAAAUCAUGUGAACUCCAAUGAGUACUUAAAUAUUUCUUGCUUCUAUGAGCUCUCUAAGGGUGUGAACACAAGCAUUAUUGUCUAUCAGUAUUAACAAUCCAUCACCCUGCAAGGAUUCACUCUAAGGUGUGAACCAAGUACUGUAUAAAUUCUAUUGAGUUAACACCAGGACCCUGACAUUACCCUUGAGUUUUCACCUUGUUUCAAGUUGAGUUGACACUAGGAUUCCAACAAGUAGCUCUCUGUGGUGGCAAAAAUCUGGAAAUUGAGGGGAUGCUCAUAAACUGGGGAAUGAUUAAGCAAGUUGUGGUAUAUUAUUGUGAUGAAAUACUACUGUGCUGCUAUAAGCAGGUUGAUUUUAGAAAAAAAACAUGAAAAAAACUUGUUUUUUUAGAACUUAUUUUUUGUUUUUAGAACUUAUAGGUUCUAUUCCUUUUUUCUCAAUCUCCUUUGGAAACAGGCUUAAUAGUAGUAUUGUUAGAUGAAAGAGUAUGCACAGUUUUAUAAUACUUUGAGCAUAGUUCCAGAUUGGUCUCUAAAAUAGUCAUUUAUUGGUCAAAUUGGUCAAUUGGAAAAUGGCUCAUAUUCUUAGAAACUUGACAAAAUAUAUUUGAGAUAUGAGACAUUUAGCCAAAAAACUGUCUAUAAAAAUCUCACCCCGUUUUCUCUUUUUCUUCUAACCUUUGUUUGUACAAAGUUUUUCCCAUUUAUUUACCAUUUUGUUUUUCCCAGUUACAUAGAAAACAAUUUUUAGUAUUUGUUUUUAAAACUUUGAGUUCCAUAUUCUCUCCAUCCCUCCCUCCUCAUCCCCCCAUUGAAUAGGAACCUGUGAGGCUAUGCAUAAUAUUUCCAUAAAAGUCAUGUUGUAAAGGAAAACAAAGAUUUCCCUGACCCCAAAAAACCCUCAAGAAAAACAAAGUUUAAAAAGUAUGCUUCAAUCUGUAUUCAGACACAAUCAGUUUUUUCUCUGGGUAUGGGUAGCUUUUUUCAUAAGUCCUUCAGAGUAGUCUUGGAUCAUUGUUUUGCUGAGAAUAGCAAAGUUAUUCAAAGCUGAUCACCCCACGACAUUGCUUUUACUUUGUACACAUAAGCUCAUGGAGGACUUUCCAAGUUUUUCUGAGAGCAUUCUGCUUAUCAUUUCUUAUAUAACAAUAGUAUUCCAUCAUAAUCAGAUGCCACAAUUUAUUCAGGCCUUCCCCAAAUAAUGGGCAUCCCCUCGAUUUCCAAUUCUUUUGGAAUUAUGUAACAGUUAUGGAACAGUUGACAUCUUUUGAUCAUUUAGCAACUAAUUGCAGAAUGGCUCUUAUUUUUAAAAAUUUGAAUCAGUUCCCCAUACCUUUGAGAAAUGAGGCCUUCAUUCUUUUCACAAUUACUGUUGCUAACUGUAUUUCCUCUCUGUUUAUUUUAUUUUUUCUCUUCUUUCUCUCCUUUCACUGUGUCCCUUCUCAAAAGUGUUUUGGUUCUGACCACCCUCUCCCCCAUUAUGCCAUCUAUCACAUUCCCCUUUAUAAUAUCUCCUUCUUAUCCUACUUUCUUUCCCUUACUUUGAGUCCUGCUACAUUCUUGAUAACUUGGUGAAUCAAUUCAACUUUACAUUUUCUCCUUCUCUUAAGCUAUGACUUGUCCCUUGUAAUAUCACUUAUUGAUCCCUCCCAUACUUAAUUUUUUAGUGGUUUCCACUGUCCUUUCUUUCCCUCCUAUACCCUCCUUCCCACUACACAUAUUAACAAAGGUGCAAUCAAUCAAAACUAUUAUUAUUGAAUCUAUUACAAAUUUAUUUUAAACUGGACUUCUCACUUCCACUAGCUAGUCUUCCUCUUCUCUCACUCAAAAACUCACACAUACUACUUUCCUCAGAGAUUUUUCCAAACUAUUUUAUCCCUCAUCUCUCUCUCAUGAGGGCCCUCUCUCAUGACCCUCCCCCUCCCCCUUUUAAUUGAGAAUCUGGCCUCAUAUUUUAUUGAUAAAAUUGAAGCCAUUCACUGAGUUCCCCUUUCUUUUCUCUUCCUAAUCUCAUAUCAGAUGCCUUCUACAAUUAUUUCACUCCACUCCUGUAUCACAUGAAGAUGUGCUCUUUACUGAGGUCAGCUCUCUACCUAUACAAGAAAUUUUAUUCUCUCCAGUCUCCUCCAAGAGAUUUGUUCACUCUGAUAGCUUUACCAUAUCACUUAUUUUCAAUCUCUUUAUAUCUACUGGGUCCUUCCCUAUUGACUAUCCACAUACCUAUGUUUCCCCCAUUCUGAAAAAAAAACACUCAUUUGAGCCUUUUAUCCACAUUUAUCAUUCUAUGUCUUUUCUAACUUUUGUGGCCAGUCUCCUUGAUAUGGCUACCCACAGUACAUGUUUCUACUUCUUUCUCUUUCCCUUCUUACUCCUUAUGAUCCGACCACCAAGUUUAUCAUUCUACUAAAAGUGCUCCCCCAAAAGCUACUAAUGACUCUUCUCAGAUUUCCAAAUUCAAUGGUCUUUUUUUCCAUCUUCAUUUUGCCUGAUUGCUCUUCAGCCUUUGACACAUUUAUCACUCUCUCCUCCUUGAUACUUUGUUCUCUCUACAUUUUUGUGACACUACUUUCUUUUGGUUCUCUUCUUUAUUUGGCUGUUGCUUCUCAGACUCCUUUGCUGAUCUUCUCCCAGAUCACACCCUCCCACUGCACUUGUCCUUCAGGUCUCUUUUUUUCUUCUUUAAUAAUAUUAAUUACUUUUUGAUCUCAUCAGUUCUCAUGGAUGUUAUUACAAUCUCUAUGGUGAUGAUUCUCAAAUCUUCCACAACCUCUAUUGACCAUUUGUCUCCCAUAUUCAACUCUUUUUAGAUAUAUUGAACUGAAUUCCCAGUAGACAUGUCUGUAACCUCCCACUUCAAGGCUACUGAUUGCCAGGGCCACACAUACCAAUCUUCCCCAGAUAGACAUGGAGACGAGACCAAUGUUAAGGUGCCAAACAGCGUUUCUUUAUUGGUAAUCUCAGCGUGAAGCUGAGGGUUAGCAGGAAGUAAGAGCAAGUGUAUGUAUGUCUCUGCAUCCCAGUAUUUCCCUACAUCUCUGCCUCUCUCUACUUCUCUCUGCAUCCUUCUCUGCCUAUGGCAAAGCUGGCCAUUUAUAUGUACUCUCCUCUAGGAUUACCCUGUAUCUAGCCCACUUAGCACUGCAUAGGUGGAUCCGCAGAAAGGAGACACCUGGAGUCAGUGCUGCAUCCUAAGAAAAGAUUGAACACCUGUAAGACACAACCUCCUGCCUCAGAAGCCAAGCCCUUUUUUACCUUCCGGUUCCACCCUACUACUGACAUGGCAUACAUGGCAAUUCUCAGAAGGAAAGUCCCUAACACAUGUCAAACGCAACAUGUUUGGAACUGAGUUCAUUUUCUUUCUCUAAACUGUCCCUGUCUCUUUCACUUACACAUUACUGCUCUCCCAUUCCCUUAGCUUUGAAACCUAGGAGUUAUUUUCAAAUCCUCACUGUCUCUCACCUGCCAUGUCCAAUCUGUUAUCAAAACCUGUUGCUUUCACCUUUGCAACAUCUCUUGUUUGCACCCCCUUUCUCUCUGACACUGCUACCUCCCUAGUACAGACCCUCAUCAUUUCAUGGCUGAACUAUUGCAAUAGAAUGUUGGUGGGUUUGCCUUCCUCAGAUUCCUCCUCAUUUAUUGUCUAGCCACAAGAACAAAUCUUGGCAGAAACAAAUACAGCCUAUCAUUUU
RNAcentral lists this long non-coding RNA (20923 nucleotides) under Sarcophilus harrisii (Tasmanian devil). RNAcentral describes it as "lncRNA (ENSSHAG00000031490.1)". Lineage: Eukaryota; Metazoa; Chordata; Mammalia; Dasyuromorphia; Dasyuridae. The record is from RNAcentral.